AUGGUAUAUUUUUUGAUAACAAGGUAAGGACUUCGCCUUUUUUUUUGUUCAAUUCUGUUUAUUUAUCCCUUGUGUUUGAGAGGAUUGCAGUGCUUUAACUAUGUUAUUACCAUAGUUGAUUGCUAUUUCAUAAUCAUUUAAGUAUUCACUUUGUAUGGAUGAAAGAAAUAUCUGUUUUCUACCCUUUAUGAUGCUUGCUAAAUCAAUUCAUUUCAUCAGCAUCUUCUACUUUUCGAGACGAAAGAAGUCUGUUAUGUGUGGUUGAGGUUGGAUGUCAUAUGGGUGAUAACCCUCUCAUGUAUGCUAUUAUAUAAUGAGAUGUGUCCAUCUUGAAAUUGCCCAAUUAUCCUCCUACAAUAUUUUGUCAAAUGAGUUGUUGGGCUUAAUAAUAUUUUAUCAGUGUUCUCCCAAGCCGAUUGCUCUCAUUAUGCCAGUCCCUGCAAUUACUAAAAUAGAGGAGUAUAGAAGAUUGUUAGAAUGUGGUGAUACACCCAUAUAUACAGUCACACUGCUGAAUGCAUAUUUGUGCACAUCUUCCAAUAAUGGUGCAUAAUUUUGCACUUCCAAUUUUUUUGAGUUUUAUGUAACUUGAGAUUAAAAUAGCUGUGUUUUUAACUUGCUACAUGCACUUAUAAUGAAAAUGGAAGAUAUACCUCUAUGGUUCUAAUCUCAAUUUCAAUGGCAGAUAUCAGAGUGAUUAGUUUGUAUCUGGUUUUUAUGACAUGGUUAAUAUAGUCUACAAUCUAAAGAUAUAUGGGUUGAUGCUUACUACUAACACAUGUUUUGACUUGGUGCAGAUUCUACAUGUAUCAGAGGUCG
RNAcentral lists this unclassified non-coding RNA (819 nucleotides) under Hevea brasiliensis (rubber tree). The record is from RNAcentral. Lineage: Eukaryota; Viridiplantae; Streptophyta; Magnoliopsida; Malpighiales; Euphorbiaceae.